Ictidomys tridecemlineatus (thirteen-lined ground squirrel) is the source of this 436-nucleotide non-coding RNA. Lineage: Eukaryota; Metazoa; Chordata; Mammalia; Rodentia; Sciuridae. The record is from RefSeq and is a predicted model, not a curated record.
AGCCCCAGGCAAUGAUGCCUCCAAUUCUCUGCUGUUUCUACCUCAAGUUCAGUGAUUUUUUUAUGAAUGAGUGCUGCUCAGUUGGUUUUAAGACUUUGGUUCAUUUCCAGAGACAAAUUUUUAAGGGGAGAGGAUUUGGUGAGCUCACUCUAGAAGCUUGUGCCUAUAACAGCACUAUCCACUGUUGGUAAAUAAUGAAUAACUAAGUUUUGUGAAAAUUCUGGAACCAAAGUUAUAUAACUUCCCCCGAGGACAUCCAAGUAGUAAGUGAAGAACUGGGACAUGGACCAAAACUUUGUGAUUUCUGGUAUGAAUCAAGUCAGCAUUGAGAAAUGUCACUAUAAUUUCAAUUAUAAAAUUAUAAAAUAAAUACAAAAGAGUAAAAGCAAAGGGUGUCAGUUCUUCCUCAGUAAAUUUGGGGGGAAAAAAAGAACAA